This is a small nuclear RNA of Cebus imitator (Panamanian white-faced capuchin), 138 nucleotides long. Its record names the gene U4. It matches the Rfam family "U4 spliceosomal RNA". Rfam says of the family: U4 small nuclear RNA (U4 snRNA) is a component of the major U2-dependent spliceosome. The structure of U4 snRNA from yeast and human has been reported. The record is from Ensembl. NCBI's taxonomy places the organism in Eukaryota, Metazoa, Chordata, Mammalia, Primates, Cebidae.
AGCUUUGCACAGUGGCAGUAUCACAGCCAAUGGGCUUUAUCUGAGGCGCAAUUAUUGCCAAUUGAAAACUUUUCCCAAUACCUCAUCAUGACGACUUGCAAUAUAGUCAGCAUUGGCAAUUUUUGGUCUCUACGGAGA